RNAcentral lists this ribosomal RNA (365 nucleotides) under uncultured organism. RNAcentral's name for it is "bacterial SSU rRNA". It matches the Rfam family "Bacterial small subunit ribosomal RNA", at positions 526 to 896 of the family's 1533-position model. The record is from RNAcentral.
CGGAGGAUCCAAGCGUUAUCCGGAAUCAUUGGGUUUAAAGGGUCCGUAGCGGGUUUAUAAGUCAGUGGUGAAAGCCCAUCGCUCAACGAUGGAACGGCCAUUGAUACUGUAGAUCUUGAAUUAUUAGGAAGUAACUAGAAUAUGUAGUGUAGCGGUGAAAUGCUUAGAGAUUACAUGGAAUACCAAUUGCGAAGGCAGGUUACUACUAAUGGAUUGACGCUGAUGGACGAAAGCGUGGGUAGCGAACAGGAUUAGAUACCCUGGUAGUCCACGCCGUAAACGAUGGAUACUAGCUGUUCGGAGCAAUCCGAGUGGCUAAGCGAAAGUGAUAAGUAUCCCACCUGGGGAGUACGUUCGCAAGAAUG